AUUGGAGCUGAGAUUCUGCGGGAU
RNAcentral lists this non-coding RNA (24 nucleotides) under Mus musculus (house mouse). The record is from miRBase by way of RNAcentral. Lineage: Eukaryota; Metazoa; Chordata; Mammalia; Rodentia; Muridae.